UCACUUCACCCUGACAGAGGAGAUAAAAUGAUCAUGAAUGUGGUUUUCCCAAGGUGAGGCUUAUCUGUUGCACUCCCUAAGUGCUGACCCCUACAAUUUCCGCAAAUGUGGGAAAUCUAGCUGUGUAAUUUACGGUAGUGGGGGGCUGUGUUUGUGCUCUCUCCUG
Small nuclear RNA from Mustela putorius furo (domestic ferret), 166 nucleotides. Its record names the gene U1. It matches the Rfam family "U1 spliceosomal RNA". From Rfam's summary of the family: U1 is a small nuclear RNA (snRNA) component of the spliceosome (involved in pre-mRNA splicing). Its 5' end forms complementary base pairs with the 5' splice junction, thus defining the 5' donor site of an intron. There are significant differences in sequence and secondary structure between metazoan and yeast U1 snRNAs, the latter being much longer (568 nucleotides as compared to 164 nucleotides in human). The record is from Ensembl. NCBI's taxonomy places the organism in Eukaryota, Metazoa, Chordata, Mammalia, Carnivora, Mustelidae.